Fukomys damarensis (Damara mole-rat) is the source of this 605-nucleotide long non-coding RNA. RefSeq lists it as uncharacterized. Lineage: Eukaryota; Metazoa; Chordata; Mammalia; Rodentia; Bathyergidae. The record is from RefSeq and is a predicted model, not a curated record. The transcript is spliced from 3 exons.
CUCAGAGCAAGGAUCGAAAGCUACCCAGGUUAGCCCAAGUAGACCUCACGCUGCCACCCCCGCCCUCGCCCCAGCCAGGAGCUCUGUAAGUGACGCAUUCCCAGUGGCCUCCCUGAGUGCCCACCUUCCAGGGUAGAACCUGGUCACCUGCCCCAACCCUCCCAGAGGACAGAUUCCACUGCCUCCCCAGCAGUGGGACCGGGGCCGCACUGAGGAGGACAGGCCAUCUGCCCAGCCCCUCCCGAAGAAGUGCCUCUUCCAGGGCACUGGGCUGGGAGGAGCAUCUUCAGGCACCCAAGACCUCCGCUGCCACGGCUCUGCCUGCCGGCUGUGGCCUCCUCUCUGCCAGCACUGCUUAAACAGAUGAAUAAAAAUAAAAGCCACGUGGCCCAUGGAGAGAUGUAGGGAAAAGAACCGUAGUUGAAGAGGAGGGAAAACGCAACACAAAACGGGCAGCAGGAGCUGGGCAAAAGAUGAAGUAAACCAAGACGUGAUCAAGAAGAGAAGCAAAAGAGUGAGAUCCCCUCCUAGACCUCAAGCCCAGCCAAGGCCCCACAGCUCCACGCCACACGGAGGAAGCCCCACACCGGCUCACACAGGAAGAA